UGGAGUGUAGCUCAGCGGUAGAGCACUUGCCUAGCAGUGUGAUUACACAACCACCCCCCCCCCCAAAAAAAAAAAAAAAAAAAAAACCAUGAUGCUGGUUAAAAAAAAAAAUAACAAAAAACACAGACAGGGCUGGGUUGUAGCACAGUGGUAGAACACUUGCCUAGCAAGAGACACUGGGUUCGAUCCUCUGCACCACAU
This 201-nucleotide transfer RNA is filed under the name Marmota monax (woodchuck). Its description in RNAcentral is "tRNA.Ala". Lineage: Eukaryota; Metazoa; Chordata; Mammalia; Rodentia; Sciuridae. The record is from RNAcentral.